This is an RNA transcript of Mirounga angustirostris (Northern elephant seal), 7343 nucleotides long. It is a transcript of the gene named putative SCAN domain-containing protein SCAND2P, with no coding region annotated. NCBI's taxonomy places the organism in Eukaryota, Metazoa, Chordata, Mammalia, Carnivora, Phocidae. The record is from RefSeq and is a predicted model, not a curated record. The transcript has 7 exons.
GAGCCAUGACUGCCCAGCCGAAGUAUCUCUUUAACUUUCCUGCCAGCUCUAACAUCCUAUAUGAGUCUGUGUUUAUAAUCCCUGCUUUCCAAGCUUGUAACCUUAGCCAGGCUAAAUCUCCCUGUUUGGGAGAGAGUUAUUCCAGGACUGAGACUUGGGGUGCCCAAUGCCGAGAGCCCAGCUAGAGAUGGGGGCCUUGAGACCCUGGGAAUCGUUGAAGCUUGGAGCCCGCUCCACCCGGGUGCUGCUCUCCAAGGUGCUGCUACCUUAGGCGCCGUCUCGUACUUGUCCUGCACAUUCACUUCCGAAGACCAGUGGCUUGGGAGGGUGGGCGGUUUAUUGUCCCCAUUAUCUCUCCAGCCCAUCCUCAUUGGUCAGUGUGGAUAAUUGACAUUUUUCUCAGCCUCAAGUAAAUCGCUAUGCAAACAGAGCUUCAAGCUCCCCUACUUUCCAACCAGAUCACCAGCCCUUGACCCUCCUCUCAAACUUCUGGAGCUGCCUCGCCAGUGACAGAGGGCCAGACUCCAUGGGCACCGGGACUUGGGAAGGGGAGAACAGGAGAGUUCUUUUCUUCACCUCAGUCCUGCUGGGCUAACAUUUGUGAUUGUCACUUGCGUUCACUCUAAUGUAUCUCUGGCUCUAGAAUUUCAAGUUCUACUUAGUGACUCCUAUCUCAAGGUAGCUUCCCAGUGUGGUCAAGGAAGAGGUUUGAGCUUCAGAGCCCAGUUGCAAGGUUCUUCUCUGAGCUGAACAAUGGCUGUAGCUGUGGACCAACAAAUUCAGACUCCUCGAGUGCAAGAAGAACUUCGAAUAGUGAAGCUGGAAGAGGAUUCCCACCGGGAGCAGGAAAUUUCCCUUCAAGGGAGUGACCCUGGACCAGAGACCUCCUGCCAGCGUUUUUGGCAUUUCUGCUAUCAAGAAACAUCUGGACCCCAGGAGGCCCUCAUCCAACUCCGGAAGCUCUGUCAUCAGUGGCUGAGACCAGAGAAGUGUACAAAAGAACAGAUCCUGGAGUUGCUCAUGCUGGAACAGUUCCUGACUGUCCUUCCUCAGGAGACCCAGAUCUGGGUUAGACAGAAGCAUCCAGAGAGUGGGGAGGAGGCCAUGGCUCUGGUGGAAGACUUGCAGAAAGAACCUGGAAGAUGGGGGCUCCAGGAGUAGGAGGUAUACUCAGAGGAGAAGGAACCCCCAGGAUCAGCACUGGGUUCCCUGAGGAUCCAUCUGAAGCAAGCACAGACAGGAUCCAUGUGUCUGUUACAGGCGAUGGUGAAGAACUCACAGCCAGAACCAGAACAGUUGAAUCACAGCCCCAAAGUAGAACUCCGAUCCUUCCACAAGAGCGUGCUGUCUGAUCCUCCGGCUCUGGAUCUUUCUGUGGAGGAGAGUGGUGGUGACCAGGGGAUGAUGAGCCCCUCCCAGGAGUUGAUGACAUUCGGUGAUGUGGCUAUGUAUAUCUCCCAGGAGGCAUGAAGGCAGCCAGAACCUGGGUGGAGGAACCACCUGGAAAGAAGUUGGGAGAAAUCCGCAAACGGGGCCCCGAUGGACUUGCCCCCCCACUGACCCAGUGUCAGCUCCUGCAGGGAGCAGGAGGAAACCCCACAGAGCCCAGAUCUUCAGUGCUCCAGAGAGGAGGAAAGCGCCAGGGACUCCGCAGCGGGUGGGGGAAGAGUCCAGCCUGGCCCCUUGCCCAUCCCAAGAAAAGCCAAGACCUGGGAGGAGCUGGAGUGGCAGGGCCUGGAGGAUGAGAAGGUGGCAGGUGUGCACCGGGACUAUGAGGAAACCAAGAUUUUUUUGGGAAUUCUCAGUGAGUCCUGGAUCCGUGAGAAAUUGCGCACCUGCCACCGGAACCGCCAGGUGUACCGGCUGGUGGCCAAGCGGCUACGCGAGCGCGGCUUCCCACGGACCCUGGAAUAGUGUCGCUACUGCUUCAAAAACCUCCAGACCCACUACCGCAAAGCCAGGAGCAGCCAGGCGCCGGGCACCUGCCCCUUCUACCAGGAGAUGGACACCCUGAUGAGCCCCUGGACCCUUGCCGGCACCUUUGACGCCUUAGAGGUGGCAGGAGGCCUUCUGCGGGACAGAGGGGACUCCGAAGAGAACCAGAGGCCGGCUGGCAGCCGUGACAGGAGAUGGUAGUGAACUGGCGGCCAAGCCCCAAGGGGAGCCCGGGAGCCUUGCUCCCCCGGCUUUCAGGGGGAGUUCCAGUGAUCUUGAAACAAGGACACAGGACAAGGAGAAUUCAAGCCAGGACAUGUCAGAGGAAGCAGAGCUCCAGGGGGCGCUAUUAGAGAGACCCAAAGCGGAUCCUUCCCUGGCCAGGACAGACUGGGAAGACAAACAUGGGGCGGAGAGGCAGUGGGAAGUACCCUUAGAAGAUGGACAAGAGGCACGCUCCCCUCCAGAAGGAGACGUAGGUAAAUUCAUAGGCCCUCAGGGAACCUACAUAGGAGGAAAGUCCUAUCUCUGCUGUGCGUGUGGAAAACAACAUGGCAACCAGGGCUCACGCUUUGCUGUGCACAGAUUAGCCCACACUGGGGAAAAGACACCUUCUAAGUGUGGCCGUUGUGGGAGAAGCUUUGGCCGAAGUUCACAUCUGGUUUGCCACCAGAGAAUCCCCACCGAGGAGAAGCCCUACAAAUGCCCUGAAUAUGGGAAGGGCUUCAGUGAUCCUUCUAACCUCACAUCACAUCAGAGAGUCCACGCUGGAGAGGAGCCCUAUAAAUGUGGGGAGUGCUGGAAAAGCUUCAGCCAGAGCUCCAGCCUUACUAUGCACCAGAGAGUCCACACAGGGGAGAAACCCCAUAAGUGCAGCGAGUGUGGGAAGAGGUUUACCAAUAGCUUGUGCUUCAGUGCACACUGGCAAACACACGCAGGCGAAAAACCCUACCAGUGCCCUGAGUGCAGGAAAAGGUUCAGCAAGAGUUCCACGCUCACCAGCCAUCGGAGGAUCCACACAGGAGAGAAACCCUAUGCAUGUCUCAAGUGCGGGAAAAGUUUCAGCGACUGCUCAAACCUCAUUACCCACCGGCGAAUUCACAGUGGAGAGAGACCCUAUGAAUGCGGGGAGUGUGGGAAAAGCUUCAGUCAGAGCUCCAGUCUCAUCAUCCACCGGAGAAUCCACACCGGAGAGAAACCCUACGAGUGUGCUGAAUGUGGGAGGCGAUUCAACAACAGCUCACAUUUUAGUGCGCAUUGGAGGACCCAUGUGACAGAGGCUCGAAGUGUAGUAGGAAUGUCUUUAAAGCACCAAGUCUAAGAACACCGCAGAAUCCGUUCCAAAAACUGUUUGUACGGUCCUUGAUUCUAUACCAUGACACCCACAUGAGAUGGAGAGAAAGAAUUUAGACCCAGUCCAAUAGAUGUUAUUUUUGUUUCUCUCUCUAAACACUCACUUGGCUAAUGAAAUACUCCUCAGGGCUUUUUUCUCCACGCUGUUGAAAUGGGAGCUCCUGUGGAGAGAAUUCAGAGACUAGUUCUGAAUUUGACUGGAUCUCCAUCACAGUACGUCUCCAUGAUGAUCCUGUGCCUUAAUUUCCACAGCUCGGUAUGAUGAGGGGGACAGUCCCGUCCCCAAGACCCUCCUCUGGGGACAGAAGUUUCCGCCUUGUGGCGCUGGGCAACUAGACAGGGAUUUAUGAAUUACAUACAGUUUUAAAGGUCUUUCAUGGUCCUCCCUAUGGGAAGAUUGGGGCCUGGGAAUUGCGGACAUUUCUCCACGUUCCUUAAGAUUUACAUGGAGUUACUGGAGAGAAAAGCACUCGAUCGUGUCAUUUGGAGGAGGGAAGAGGAGAAAAGACCAACGCUGGAGGCUGGCUUUCUAAACCAUAACCUACUCUUCCUCUCAACAUACUAGGUUGAACCAUAUGAGAUAGCCAUUUUGAGCUCCCAAACCAGCAAUUUCAUGAUUCAACCUAAACAGACUUUUUGCAGAAUAGAAUUACCCCAGAUUGCCAGCAGAGCUGCUUACACAGCUUUACAGCUCCCACUGUGUCCUAAAAUAUAAGCCUGGGUCUAGGAGAUCACAAACAGGAUAACAUAAGCCUUGUCUCUAAUCUGUAAAUAUGUCCAGAGCAAUAACUACGAACCACGGCAUCGAUCAAGGCUCCCAGUUGGAGGAUCUGCCUGUCACCGGCCUCUGACGAGCUCCCUCGUUCCUACGGGGGAGGCCAUGUGCAGGUUCACAGGUUUUUGAAGAUUUGGGGUGUCUCUGCGAGAGCAGAGCACAGUUCCUGGGGGCACUCUGACACAGCAAAUGGUGCUUGGAAAUAAGUGGAAUACACUUUUUCCCUCUUAAAAUAGUUUCCUUUGGGGCACCUGGGUGGCUGGCUCCAUUGGUUAAGUGUCCGGCUCUUGAUGUCAGCUCAGGUCUCAAUCUCACGCUUGUGAGUUCAAGCGGGAUAAAUCAACGGGAUUUAAAAAAAAAAAAAAAGUUUCCUUUGUGCAUUUGACUUGAAAAUAUUUCCCCAGAACUUCCCAGAAACCCACCAAUUAUAAAACAAAGCACUGUCGACACAUGACAAUUUCAUUUAAUUAGAUUUAUAAAUAUGAUUAUGUAAUGAGUUUUUUUAAUGAACACCAAAGAACUUAUUCAAAUAAGUGUUAUCUAUCAAAAGCAGUCAUUCUGAUGGGCUGUGGGCUUUAUAUGUUGUUACCAUUACUGAAGACAUUGAAUUUUCCUGUAAGAAUUGUCUUCCAACCACCCUAGAAGGCCCCCUAUCAGCGUAUUUCUGGCACGGAGCAGUGUCCUGCACAUAAGCAAGGCUUAAUAAACACUGACAGACGAGCUUGUUUGUCAUCUAGCCUGAUCGAUCACUUCUCUUAUCCAUGAGACUUGGCUCUGCCCAAUAUCUGCUCUCUGAAAACAGAUUCCCUUCUAAGGAUGUCAAUUUGCUGCCAUUGAGGAGACUUCAAAGAGCCUAUUUUGGGGGGAUAGUUUUCAAAAAGCUAUCCCAGAAAUUUGAGUUCAGGAUUUUUUUUUGUAAGGCCAGGAAAUAAAUCUGAUAUGUAUUAUUUUAAAUCAUUUCACUCUUCUGAAUGAGAACGGCUCUACUUGGGUGGAAAUUCAUCAUACUAAAACCAGUGUGGCUAUGCAUUAUAAAAAGACUUUGGAAAUAACCAGAUUCCCUUUUGGAAACUUUUGCCAUCAUCCUUUUUUGGAAUGGAACAAGGAGAUUCAAAUAGAAUAUCCAUACAAUUUUCUCUCAUGUGUAUUUUCCCCUUAGCAAAGUAACGGGAAGACUGAGCUGGAGACUGUAGAUCUUUCUUCCGGAUUUUACAAUCCCUGAAGCAAUAGGAUCUGCAAGACCACGGCUCUCGGUGGUGCCUGCAGUUAGUUCUCAAGGGAAGACUAGAGCAGGGAGUUAGCAUGAGCUGACUCACAUGGAGAGGCUUCCCGGGGAACCAAACGCAGUAUGUACUCCUUGCAAGGUCUGGACUUUGAUUUGAAACUAGUCAUUUGUUACCUUGCUCAAGAGUGUUUUGAUUUACCUUUUUGUCCGCCACGGUACUCGGCAUGGGCAAAGCUCUGGGGGCUUUUAUUUUUAGCUCAACUCAGACUCACAAUCACGGCUUCAAAGUUUCUGAACCAGGCAAGCAGUGUGGCUUUUGGAAGCUGCCUCCUUGGAAAUCCCUCAAGAUGAAAACAAUAAUGAAAGUUCUAAGUGGGAAUGCCUGAAAUUCACUUUUUUUUUUUUUUUUUUUUUUAAGAUUUCUUUGUCAGAGAGAGUGAGAGAGAGAGAGAAGCGAGUGCACAAGCAGGGGGAGUGGCAGGCGGAGGGAGAAGCAGGCUCCCUGCCAAGCGGGGAGCCCGAUGCGGGGCUCGAUCCCAGGACCCCGGGAUCAUGACCUGAGUUGAAGGCAGAUGCUUAACCGACUGAGCCACCCAGGCGCCCCAAAAUUCUAACAGUUGCAGUAGAUGACACACAGUCAAUCCAAUUAUGCGUUGCAACAUUUUAACUGAAUUUUAACUGAAGCUCAUAGCAAAAAUACUGGCCCAUAUUUUCAUUUACAGAUAGCUAGAAACAGGAGGUGGGUUUCAGAAGCUAAUCCUGCUAGCGGAAGCUGGAAGCUGAUGCAAGUAUGUUCACCCAAUAAAUAAAUGAAUUCCAAGCGCAUCCUGUGAGUGGAAUGAUCAAAGGGAAACCCUAAACUCAUCAGCAGGCACUCCCCAGUCCCCACAGACCUCAUCCUCUGGCCACCACUCCUCUCCCUUCUGCCUCUCGGGACAGGCCUGUUCUGAAUGUUUCCCGGAAAUGGAGUCCUACAGCGAGUGGCCUUUUGUGAUUGGCUCCUUCCCCUCAGCGUCCUGUCUGCAGGCUCAUCCACAUGGUGCCAGGAGUCCAGGCUGCAGUCCUCCUUCCGGCCUGUGAUACCCCAGCACACGACACACCACACUGUCAGCGCCUUCAUCAGCUGGAGGACAUCAUCAGCUGGCUUGUUCCCUCUGUGCUUAUUGUGGGUCACGUUGCCAUGAAUGUUCGUGUACACCUUUUGACAAGUUUUGUGUGGACACAUGUUUUCAGUUCUGGUGGAUAAAUACCGAGGCGUGGAAUUGCUGGGCCAUAGAGUAACUCAAGGUUUAACCUUUUGAGGAAGGGCCAGCCUUCUUUUCCAAAGAGGCCGCACCAUUUGACAUUCCACCAGCGGUGUACAAGGGUUCAGAUUUCUCCACGUCCUCCCCCCCAAAUUGGGUAUAGUCUUAUUUUUUUUAAAGUCAUCUCUACACCCAGCGUGGGGCUUGAACUCACAGCCCCAAGAUCAAGAGUCGCAUGCCAGGCGCCCCUAGUCUGUCUUUUUGGUUCUAGCCAUCCUGGAGGGCGUGAAGUGAUGAAGCCAGGUUCCGAAUGUACUGCGGACUCCUGCAUGGUGCAGGAUGGCAGGUGUCGGUGUGGGAUGAGGGGCCCCUGCCCCACCCACUCUGAGCCGGGAGAGGCCCCCCCAGCCCCCCACAAGUGCGCAGGUGCCCCAGUGUGUGCGCCCGUGGGCUCCGGCCACACUCCCCACCAACGGCCACUCUGGCCACCUCUCGGGCCCAGUGUGCACAUGCCAGCUGCAUAGCCAGCCCUCGAGAGGACGGAAUGGAAGAGGGUGUGCAGGCCCUGGACGCAGACUCUGGCCAUUCGGACAGGACGUUCUGGGUCCUGGGUGCCAGGAAGAUGGUCUGGCGGAGGGAUGUAGGCUCUGUGGGCCCACAGCCGAGGCCCGUGGCCUUCUCACCCCUGGAGAAGGGUAUGGCUAGAGGAGGGCUGGAUGGGGCUGGGCCCCCUAGAGCACCAGGCCCUGGCAUCCACUUUUUAAAAAGUGUGAUAAAACAUCCACAACAUAAAAGUUGCCAUUUUACCAUG